CUCAAUUUGCUUCUUUUGCUUCGACGAGCGGUAUAUUCUAACUCGCACUAUUAAGGGAAACUCCCACGUUCUUUGGCAUGCCAGUGAAAAGAAAAUGGAGGAGCAAGUAGAAGAAUUGUGUGGUAAAAGACCGCUUUCGAAGAAAAGAUAGGAGGUAUAGUGACCAUGCCUUUCAUCAUAGUUCAAAAAUAAACUAUAUGUGUGAAUUAGAAGUCAGCAUGAAUAGUGUUUUUCCCUGGUUUGCUGAUGAUAUAUUACUUCGGAUAUUGAAAUAUAAAACUCUGAUGGUAAUGAUGUUGGUUGUUUGGUCACCUUACCAGAGUUCGAUUCUUAUUUGGUAUGUUUUUUAGGUUUUUUUUCAUCGUUACCUCAUACUAUGUCUUAUUUGGAAAAUUUCCGGAUUAUAACCAACAUCGUUAAAUUUUCCUACCCGGAAAGUUUCCGCGUAACAAGGGGUUAUGACAAUAGAGAUUAGGAUCAACUGGGACCUUCAAUCAAUUGGUAGGGUGUUCUCACAAAUUGCUACUGCAUAGAGUGAGGUACACCUGGAUAUCUAAAAUCCACCAUAAUGAAUGGGAUGUCCUUUGUGGACAAUUGGGCCUUUGUUUGAAAGUUGCAGCUGAUUGAAAAAUGUGUAUAAUGUUGCAACUGAUUGACCUUAUCCGUCUUUGUCAUGACUGUUGAACUAAAGAGGGAGUGUUUUAAAGUCUCUAAGGUAAUAAAGAAUCUAUCUUUCAUCCAAGCUAAAUUGAUGUUACAUCAGAAUUUUGCUCUAUAUUUCAUUUGAAUUCAUUAUACUACUUAUGAUAUUUGCCAAAAAAAAUUGUAUGCAAUCUUCAUAAUUGCUUUGUUGGAAUGCAAUGGAAUGGGUCAAGAAAAAAAAUACUCCAGUGCAGAAGAUAGAUAAUGAGAAAAGAGAGAAAUGGAAAAGGGAGAGAGAAGUGAAAGGGGUGGUGGCUUGAGGGUCACCACCGUCUCACCACUGUCACACCACCAAGCAUGGUCACCAUCUCGACCGUUUCCCAUGCAAGCAAAAGAAAGAAGGGGUGGUGACUAUUAAUCUAUGAAAUCGACAAUGUCUAACAGCUGCGAGGGAUUCGAUUUGUCGUCGAUUACCAAGAAUAACCGCGAUAAUUGACGAAUGAGGGUUCCGGAAGUGGUGAUGGCCGACCGACAUGAUAGUGGAGGGAAGGCGGCUUCAAAGCAAUCCAAACCACCUCAAGUGAUGAUGUUUUAAAGGAUUAGCGGAUAAGUCAUACCUCAAAGAAGAAAGUUCAGAUGAGGACUUCAGUUUUUUUUCGUUCUAAAAACAUGUUUCUUUUGUCAUUUCUGUUAAUUAAUAAUAUUAUCAUAAUGCCUUCAUCUUUUUGACACAAUGGCUCUACGUGCUUGGAUCAUAAUGGGUUCUGAUUCAGAUCUUCCAGUGAUGAAAGAAAGUGCCAAAGCUUUGAAUGACUUUGACGUGUCGACUGAGAUUAUUCCUUAACUUCUUUUGGUAGAGCUUGCAAAACCUCAAGUGAUGAUGUUUCAAAGGAUUAGCGGAUAAGUCAUGUUCAAAGAAGAAAGUUCAGGGAAGGCGGCUUCAAAGCAAUCCAAACCACCUCAAGUGAUGAUGUUUUAAAGGAUUAGCGGAUAAGUCAUAUCUCAAAGAAGAAAGUUCAGAUGAGGACUUUAGUUUCUUUUCGUUCUAAAAACAUGUUUCUUUUGUCAUUUCUGUUAAUUCAUAAUAUUAUCAUAAUGCCUUCAUCUUUUUGACACAGUGGCUCUACGUGCUUGGAUCAUAAUGGGUUCUGAUUCAGAUCUUCCAGUGAUGAAAGAAACUGCCAAAGUUUUGAAUGACUUUGCCUUAACUCAUUUUGGUAGAGCUUGCAAAAACUGCGGGUUGGGAAGCAGAUCAAAACGAGUAUGUGAAAUCUGUUGGGUCGAUCAGAUUAUGUGACAUCUGAAUAUUGAGUGACCUAUUAGAGUUGCUCAGAGUUGGUCUAAAUAUGAAGUUCUAAACCGGCACAUAAAGUUAGCUAAGAAGUACACGGGUCAAAUGAUCAAAAGUCAUUAACAUUGUAUCUUCAAGGUUAGAGAACAUUCUAAAGUCAUUUUACUAAUUAAUAUUAUUUUCUUAAUGUU
This 2124-nucleotide long non-coding RNA is filed under the name Helianthus annuus (common sunflower). Its description in RNAcentral is "hypothetical non coding rna". The record is from RNAcentral. Lineage: Eukaryota; Viridiplantae; Streptophyta; Magnoliopsida; Asterales; Asteraceae.